UGUAGAGUAGCUCAGUUCGUUAGAGCACGAGUCUCAUACGCUCGGGGUCGUGGGUGCAAAUCCCGCCUCUGCAACCA
Molecule: transfer RNA, 77 nt
Filed under: Puniceicoccus vermicola
Lineage: Bacteria; Pseudomonadati; Verrucomicrobiota; Opitutia; Puniceicoccales; Puniceicoccaceae
Description: tRNA-Met
Rfam family: tRNA
About the family: Transfer RNA (tRNA) molecules are approximately 80 nucleotides in length.
Source: RNAcentral